GGGGAAUAUUGGACAAUGGGCGCAAGCCUGAUCCAGCCAUGCCGCGUGAGUGAUGAAGGCCCUAGGGUUGUAAAGCUCUUUCACCGGUGAAGAUAAUGACGGUAACCGGAGAAGGAGCCCCGGCUAACUUCGUGCCAGCAGCCGCGGUAAUACGAAGGGGGCUAGCGUUGUUCGGAAUUACUGGGCGUAAAGCGCACGUAGGCGGAUCGGUCAGUUAGGGGUGAAAUCCCAGGGCUCAACCCUGGAACUGCCUUUAAUACUGCCGGUCUGGAGUUCGAGAGAGGUGAGUGGAAUUCCGAGUGUAGAGGUGAAAUUCGUAGAUAUUCGGAGGAACACCAGUGGCGAAGGCGGCUCACUGGCUCGAUACUGACGCUGAGGUGCGAAAGCGUGGGGAGCAAAC
Molecule: ribosomal RNA, 400 nt
Filed under: uncultured bacterium
Lineage: Bacteria
Description: bacterial SSU rRNA
Rfam family: Bacterial small subunit ribosomal RNA
Source: RNAcentral